GAAGUGGCGGGCGUUAUCCGGAUUCACUGGGUUUAAAGGGUGCGUAGGCGGGUAGGUAAGUCCGUGGUGAAAUCUCCGAGCUUAACUCGGAAACUGCCGUGGAUACUAUUUGUCUUGAAUAUCGUGGAGGUGAGCGGAAUAUGUCAUGUAGCGGUGAAAUGCUUAGAUAUGACAUAGAACACCAAUUGCGAAGGCAGCUCACUACACUAUUAUUGACGCUGAGGCACGAAAGCGUGGGGAUCAAACAGGAUUAGAUACCCUGGUAGUCCACGCCCUAAACGAUGAUUACUCGACAUCAGCGAUACACUGUUGGUGUCUGAGCGAAAGCAUUAAGUAAUCCACCUGGGAAGUACGACCGCAAGGUUGAAACUCAAA
RNAcentral lists this ribosomal RNA (375 nucleotides) under uncultured Chitinophagaceae bacterium. Its description in RNAcentral is "bacterial SSU rRNA". It matches the Rfam family "Bacterial small subunit ribosomal RNA", at positions 528 to 905 of the family's 1533-position model. The record is from RNAcentral. Lineage: Bacteria; Pseudomonadati; Bacteroidota; Chitinophagia; Chitinophagales; Chitinophagaceae.